AAGUCGUAACAAGGUUUCCGUAGGUGAACCUGCGGAAGGAUCAUUCAAAAUAAAAGUGAAAUUUUAUAUGGCACUUUUAAAACAAUCCAUAUUCACCUUGUGUGCAAUGUUUAUAUGGAAAGUUUGGGGUUUUAAUUAAUCCCACAACUUUCUGUUUAACUUAAUUACUCUUAUUAUUUUUUACAAGAAAUCGUCUGAAAAACUAUUAUUGAAUAAAAACUUAAUUCAUAAAUAUAACUUUCAACAACGGAUCUCUUGGCUCUC
Molecule: unclassified non-coding RNA, 264 nt
Filed under: Mortierella sp.
Lineage: Eukaryota; Fungi; Mortierellomycota; Mortierellomycetes; Mortierellales; Mortierellaceae
Description: partial internal transcribed spacer region
Rfam family: Eukaryotic small subunit ribosomal RNA (bases 1-46)
Source: RNAcentral